RNAcentral lists this transfer RNA (87 nucleotides) under archaeon 13_1_40CM_4_53_4. Its description in RNAcentral is "tRNA-Ala". It matches the Rfam family "tRNA". Rfam says of the family: Transfer RNA (tRNA) molecules are approximately 80 nucleotides in length. Their secondary structure includes four short double-helical elements and three loops (D, anti-codon, and T loops). RNAcentral also lists the same sequence under 1 other name. The record is from RNAcentral.
GCGGGGGUUCCCGAGACCAUGCGGGUCGCCGUAUUGGCGAUCCUGUGGCGUAGGCCUUCAUGGGUUCGAAUCCCAUCCCCCGCACCA